RNAcentral lists this ribosomal RNA (561 nucleotides) under Trichoderma reesei. RNAcentral's name for it is "partial large subunit ribosomal RNA". It matches the Rfam family "Eukaryotic large subunit ribosomal RNA", at positions 789 to 1350 of the family's 3401-position model. The record is from RNAcentral. Lineage: Eukaryota; Fungi; Ascomycota; Sordariomycetes; Hypocreales; Hypocreaceae.
UUGAGUAAAGAGCAUACGGGGCCGGACCCGAAAGAAGGUGAACUAUGCCUGUAUAGGGUGAAGCCAGAGGAAACUCUGGUGGAGGCUCGCAGCGGUUCUGACGUGCAAAUCGAUCGUCAAAUAUGGGCAUGGGGGCGAAAGACUAAUCGAACCUUUUAGUAGCUGGUUUCCGCCGAAGUUUCCCUCAGGAUAGCAGUGAUGAGCUCAGUUUUAUGAGGUAAAGCGAAUGAUUAGGGACCCGGGGGCGGUAUAUUCCCUUCAUCCAUUUUCAAACUUUAAAUAGGUAAGAAGCCCUUGUUACUUAGUUGAACGUGGGCAUUGGAAUGUAUCAACAUUAGUGGCCCAUUUUUGGUAAGCAGAACUGGCGAUGCGGGAUGAACCGAACGCGAGGUAAAGGUGCCAGAGUAGACGUUCAUCGGCCACCACAAAAGGCGUUAGUACAUUUUGACAGCAGGACGGUGGCCAUGGAAGUCGGAAUCCGUUAAGGACUGUGUAACAAUUCACCUGCGGAAUGUACUAGCCCUGAAAAUGGAGGGCGUUCAAGCGUCUCACCCAUACCUC